CGGGGCCGUUUGCUACCUCGAUGUCGGCUUGUCUCAUCCUGGCGCUGAAGCAGGUGCCAAGGGGUGGGCUGAUCGCCCAUUAAAGAGGCGCACUAGCUGGGUUCAGAGCGUCGUAAGACAGCUCGGUCCUUAUCUACAGCGGGCGUUGUGCAAUUGAGGAAACCUGAUCCUAGUACGAGAGGACCGGAUUGGGCAAACCUCUGGUGUACCAGUUGUUCUACCAAGGGCAUUGCUGGGUAGCUACGUUUGUUUCGAAUAAGUGCUGAAAGCAUAUAAGCACGAAGCCGUUACCAAGAUUAAUUGCAUUAUGCCCUCCUUGGAGAAUACAAGGUUGAUAGGCGGCAGGUAUAAGCACAGCAAUGUGUUCAGCCGAGCCGUACUAAUGGGAUUUUUCUUUUU
This 399-nucleotide ribosomal RNA is filed under the name candidate division WWE3 bacterium CG_4_9_14_3_um_filter_34_6. RNAcentral's name for it is "bacterial LSU rRNA". It matches the Rfam family "Bacterial large subunit ribosomal RNA", at positions 2509 to 2925 of the family's 2925-position model. The record is from RNAcentral. Lineage: Bacteria; candidate division WWE3.